GCACAGGUUCCAGGUCUUUAACGUGAGCCCGCUGCAGGUGUGCGGCCCAGUCCGAGACAGCAGAUGAGGAGACUGUCCUUCCUGUUUCGCAGAUGAGGAAACUGAGGCUUAAAGAAGUUUGGCAAAUUGGCUAAGUUCCUACAGCUAAUUGUGGGAUUAGUGAUAUGCUUUUCUAAAGAGUAGAAAAGUCGAAGAUGUCUAGACAGAACUUAGUGGCUUUGACAGUGACUACCCUUCUGGGUGUGGCUGUAGGGGGGUUUGUCCUCUGGAAAGGCAUCCAGCGCCGCCGAAGGAGUAAAACGAGUCCUGUGACCCAACAGCCACAGCAGAAAGUGCUGGGCAGUAGAGAGCUGCCCCCUCCAGAAGAUGAUCAGCUGCACUCCAGUGCCCCCAGAUCCUCGUGGGAGGAACGGAUCCUUAAAGCAAAGGUGGUGACAGUGUCUCAGGAGGCAGAGUGGGAUCAAAUCGAGCCCUUGCUUAGAAGUGAAUUAGAAGAUUUUCCAGUACUUGGAAUUGACUGUGAGUGGGUAAAUUUGGAAGGCAAAGCCAGCCCUCUGUCACUUCUACAAAUGGCCUCCCCAAGUGGCCUGUGUGUCUUGGUUCGCCUGCCCAAGCUAAUCUGUGGAGGAAAAACACUACCAAGAACGUUAUUGGAUAUUUUGGCAGAUGGCACCAUUUUGAAAGUUGGAGUGGGAUGCUCAGAAGAUGCCAGCAAGCUUCUGCAGGAUUAUGGCCUCGUUGUUAGGGGGUGCCUGGACCUCCGAUACCUAGCCAUGCGGCAGAGAAACAAUUUGCUCUGUAAUGGGCUUAGCCUGAAAUCCCUCGCUGAGACUGUUUUGAACUUUCCCCUUGACAAGUCCCUUCUACUUCGUUGCAGCAACUGGGAUGCUGAGACUCUCACAGAGGACCAGGAACUCACCUGGAGAAAAAAACGAUGACCACAGUAGCUGGAGAAAAGUCUUGGAAAAAUGCCAGGGUGUGGUCGACAUCCCAUUUCGAAGCAAAGGAAUGAGCAGAUUGGGAGAAGAGGUUAAUGGGGAAGCAACAGAAUCUCAGCAGAAGCCAAGAAAUAAGAAGUCUAAGAUGGAUGGGAUGGUGCCAGGCAACCACCAAGGGAGAGACCCCAGAAAACAUAAAAGAAAGCCCCUGGGGGUGGGCUAUUCUGCCAGAAAAUCACCUCUUUAUGAUAACUGCUUUCUCCAUGCUCCUGAUGGACAGCCCCUCUGCACUUGUGAUAGAAGAAAAGCUCAGUGGUACCUGGACAAAGGCAUUGGUGAGCUGGUGAGUGAAGAGCCCUUUGUGGUGAAGCUACGGUUUGAACCUGCAGGAAGGCCCGAAUCUCCUGGAGACUAUUACUUGAUGGUUAAAGAGAACCUGUGUGUAGUGUGUGGCAAGAGAGACUCCUACAUUCGGAAGAACGUGAUUCCACAUGAGUACCGGAAGCACUUCCCCAUCGAGAUGAAGGACCACAACUCCCACGAUGUGCUGCUGCUCUGCACCUCCUGCCAUGCCAUUUCCAACUACUAUGACAACCAUCUGAAGCAGCAGCUGGCCAAGGAGUUCCAGGCCCCCAUCGGCUCUGAGGAGGGCUUGCGCCUGCUGGAAGAUCCUGAGCGCCGGCAGGUGCGUUCUGGGGCCAGGGCCCUGCUCAACGCGGAGAGCCUGCCUGCUCAUCGAAAGGAGGAGCUGCUGCAAGCACUCAGAGAGUUUUAUAACACAGACAUGGUCACAGAGGAGAUGCUUCAAGAGGCUGCCAGCCUGGAGACCAGAAUCUCCAAUGAAAACUAUGUUCCUCACGGGCUGAAGGUGGUGCAGUGUCACAGCCAGGGUGGCCUGCGCUCCCUCAUGCAGCUGGAGAGCCGCUGGCGUCAGCACUUCCUGGACUCCAUGCAGCCCAAGCACCUGCCCCAGCAGUGGUCAGUGGACCACAACCAUCAGAAGCUGCUCCGGAAAUUCGGGGAAGAUCUUCCCAUCCAGCUGUCGUGAUAGCUGCUUUCCUCCCAGUUAGGACAGGUGGGAAGCUGGAGCCAAGGUUGAAGAGUCACCUCUUCCCAUUUUAGUACAUCAUUAAUUGUCAAAGCCUGUGUGACACAACUCAGAAUACUAACCUAGACUAAUCCCAGGAUGCUUCUGCUGGAGCAAAGAUAUUGUUUGAAGGAGAGUUUAUGGUUUUGGAUUUUAAACGGGCAGGGUCUUUUUUCCUCUCAUUUUUGUGGACAAGAGAGGCCUUCGCCUUUAUUUUUACUCUCCCUCUUCUGCUGUCCCUGUGCAGAGGAAAAAUGAAGAAUUCUCCCAGAAGUGACUUGUCAAGACUUAAAAAAAAUGUUUUUAAUGCAUUUCUUCCUUGUCUAAUGCCUCAGUUUAUCUCUAACAGGGGCUGUCCAGUAUAUCGGUCCUGUUAGGAGGGGAGAAAAAGUUCUUCCAAAGGCUGGAGAAGUGAACAAGGAGUCAAAUUUAUUUUCCCAAUUCAACUUCAUAAUUAUCAUUUCUUUGGCUUCAUGCUCUCCCGUAACUCAUGUGGUUGGGAUCCAUCCCAUCUGGGUCACUUCAGUCUACUUCACAUACUUGAAAAGGCUUUCCUUUACACUUCCAGGACCAAACAGCAACUUCCUGCCACACACUUCCACCCUAUCACUGGGAGAAAUCCUUGUCUGGACAUGAGCCUUUGACCUGGGUGGGGCAGAAAGAACCACAAACUCCAUCUCCCAAUAGAACUUUGAAAUUCACUCAGCUUUUCCUUUCAUGCUGUUUGUUGCCUGCUUGUUGCACUCCUCCUGCCCCAGAACUGCAAGAUUUUUAGCUUCACCCCUUUCUGAGAGUAAUGUUAUCUUUUAUCAGAAUCAGUAUCAGUUCCCCUGUAUUCUGUGCUUCAUCAAAUUUGCAAGACUGACCUCUUUUAAGCAUUUAAUUCACUCCCAGAGUCAUCUGGUCAGGUUGCAAUAUGAGGACUUCUCUGUCUCCUCUGAAGCCUGGGACACCGAGCUUACUUAAUACAUUAGAUGUUCAAAAGAGGAGUGUUGUUUCAUCUUUCAAAAUGUUAGGCCAUCACUUUGAGUAUAAAAUCGACUUAUUAAUGAUUAGUAAUUUUUCUAAAGUAUUGGGGAAACUUUCUUAUUUUAUAAGAUCUUAACAAGCUUAAAAAAGAAUUCUAUGACCAGAAUCCAACAAGAGCUCUAUUUUGGAAUUGUGCCCAAGUUGGUGAUGUUUACUCUAAAAUUAAUAAUAAAACUACUUGUAAGCACA
Molecule: small RNA, 3243 nt
Filed under: Pan troglodytes (chimpanzee)
Lineage: Eukaryota; Metazoa; Chordata; Mammalia; Primates; Hominidae
Description: processed transcript
Source: RNAcentral